GAGUUUGAUCCUGGCUCAGAACGAACGCUGGCGGCAGGCCUAACACAUGCAAGUCGAGCGCGCCUUUCGGGGUGAGCGGCGGACGGGUUAGUAACGCGUGGGAAUAUGCCCAAAGGUACGGAAUAGCCUCUGGAAACGGAGAGUAAUACCGUAUGUGCCCUUCGGGGGAAAGAUUUAUCGCCUUUGGAUUAGCCCGCGUUAGAUUAGGUAGUUGGUGGGGUAAUGGCCUACCAAGCCUACGAUCUAUAGCCGGUUUUAGAGGAUGAUCAGCAACACUGGGACUGAGACACGGCCCAGACUCCUACGGGAGGCAGCAGUGGGGAAUCUUGGACAAUGGGGGCAACCCUGAUCCAGCCAUGCCGCGUGAGUGAUGAAGGCCUUAGGGUCGUAAAGCUCUUUCGCCUGUGAAGAUAAUGACGGUAGCAGGUAAAGAAACCCCGGCUAACUCCGUGCCAGCAGCCGCGGUAAUACGGAGGGGGCUAGCGUUGUUCGGAAUUACUGGGCGUAAAGCGCACGUAGGCGGAUCGGAAAGUUGGGGGUGAAAUCCCGGGGCUCAACCCCGGAACUGCCUCCAAAACUAUCGGUCUAGAGUUCGAGAGAGGUGAGUGGAAUUCCGAGUGUAGAGGU
Molecule: ribosomal RNA, 627 nt
Filed under: uncultured Alphaproteobacteria bacterium
Lineage: Bacteria; Pseudomonadati; Pseudomonadota; Alphaproteobacteria
Description: bacterial SSU rRNA
Rfam family: Bacterial small subunit ribosomal RNA
Source: RNAcentral